Molecule: ribosomal RNA, 330 nt
Filed under: uncultured bacterium
Lineage: Bacteria
Description: bacterial SSU rRNA
Rfam family: Bacterial small subunit ribosomal RNA
Source: RNAcentral
UUCGUAGGCGGUGCGGCAAGUCAGGAGUGAAAUCUCUGGGCUUAACUCAGAGGCUGCUUCUGAAACUGCUGUGCUUGAGUGUGGGAGAGGCGCGUGGAAUUGCAGGUGUAGCGGUGAAAUGCGUAGAUAUCUGCAGGAACACCCGUGGCGAAAGCGGCGCGCUGGACCACAACUGACGCUGAGGAACGAAAGCUAGGGGAGCAAACAGGAUUAGAUACCCUGGUAGUCCUAGCCCUAAACGAUCAGGACUUGGGGCGCCACCCGUUCGGGUGUCGUCCCGGAGCUAACGCGUUAAGUCCUGCACCUGGGGAGUACGGUCGCAAGACUGAA